AUUGAAAGAAGUGGUUCCACUGUUGAACAUGGUAGUGGCGUUUAUAGUGUCUAAAUUGUGUUAAACAGUGUAAAUGACGACGGGAACAGACGAAAUGGGGAUUUCAAACAUCUUAUUGCACUCACAUACUUGGAAGCAACACACAGAUUUGUAGUUGGAUGGUCGAUAUGCUACAGCCUGUGCGAAGAAUACUUUAUCAAAAUUCACAAAUGGUCAGGCAACACUGAGAGGAGAGACUACAUUGAGGAAGAAGAUUGCCUAGAACAGCCAUCAGUAUUUCAAACAUCAGAAAGUGUGAAGGUAAAGUGGUGGUGUUACGGUGACAUCAAGCUGUGUGACAUAAGUGAACUAGUUCUGAAAACUGUUUUGCCGGACGUGUUUUGGACGAAUAAUAAUGCAAGUGUUUAAAGUCAAAUUGAUCAAAAUAUGUGAACAGUAACGUAACUGUUAAAGAAUACUUACUAAAAUUAGGGAAUUUUGUGGUGUGAUACAGAUGUGAAGUGAAAGUUCUGAAAAAAGUAAAUCUUGUGUCUUGAUAAGACGAGAUUUAAUGAUUCAAUACAGUGUGAAUUGUUUUUGUUGUACAUUAUAAAUAUGUUAUAAAUUGACAUCAUACCAACUAUGUGGAUGGUUGUGGCUGUUGUUUGCAUGGAAAUCUUCGAAAGAUUGAAGAAAAACUGCGCGUACCAAGUGAGAUACUGCCAACACAUGGACUCCUCACAACAAUAAUGAACUCUCUCACGUGUCACUGAUUAUCAGGAACUUUCCAGUGAAGCAAAUUUUGGAACAAUUAAAGAUGAACAGUACCUUGAUAAAUCCUGUAAUACUUCUUCAGUGGAAGAUGAGAUUGAACAAGCGAGUAGCUUCUGGGUGCUCAAGGAUCUUACUUUGAAGACUACUAAGUGUGUGUGAAAAACUUCAGUUAAAUGGGUUACGUUGGAACAGUCACCUACUUGCAGUUUGUACUCCUUUCAGGACAUUUGCUCUAAUUUGAUCAACCGAUUCUGGCGUGUGCUGAAAAUUUAUUAACACACUCUAAAUUCAGACUGAUGCCAGAAUGAACUUCCCAAGAUUAGAUUUAAACCCUGUUGUGGACAUCAGGACCUGUGCUUCCAACAUUCACUAAUUUUUGUAUAGAAACCUGUUGCUUUCAAAGUCAGUAAAUUGAAAGUGUCACCAUUGCUGCUUUGGAAUAACAGGAUUUAACUAAAUUUAUUUUGUAAUAUUUACCUAAUUUAGAAUGUGUGUUUUUAAAAAGCUUAUCUAUAUUUUUUGUUAUGUUCAUAAAGUAAAGGAGAUAAAAACCUGUA
This is a long non-coding RNA of Schistocerca piceifrons (Central American locust), 1310 nucleotides long. RefSeq lists it as uncharacterized. NCBI's taxonomy places the organism in Eukaryota, Metazoa, Arthropoda, Insecta, Orthoptera, Acrididae. The transcript has 2 exons. The record is from RefSeq and is a predicted model, not a curated record.